RNAcentral lists this ribosomal RNA (912 nucleotides) under uncultured bacterium. Its description in RNAcentral is "bacterial SSU rRNA". It matches the Rfam family "Bacterial small subunit ribosomal RNA", at positions 8 to 916 of the family's 1533-position model. The record is from RNAcentral.
AGAGUUUGAUCCUGGCUCAGAUUGAACGCUGGCGGCAUGCCUUACACAUGCAAGUCGAACGGCAGCACGGGGCAACCUGGUGGCGAGUGGCGAACGGGUGAGUAAUGCAUCGGAACGUGCCAUUGAGUGGGGGAUAACGUAGCGAAAGUUGCGCUAAUACCGCAUAUUCUGUGAGCAGGAAAGCAGGGGACCGCAAGGCCUUGCGCUCUUUGAGCGGCCGAUGUCAGAUUAGCUAGUUGGUGAGGUAACGGCUUACCAAGGCGACGAUCUGUAGCGGGUCUGAGAGGAUGAUCCGCCACACUGGAACUGAGACACGGUCCAGACUCCUACGGGAGGCAGCAGUGGGGAAUUUUGGACAAUGGGCGCAAGCCUGAUCCAGCCAUGCCGCGUGAGUGAAGAAGGCCUUCGGGUUGUAAAGCUCUUUCGGCCGGGAAGAAAUCGCAUGGGCCAAUACCCUGUGUGGAUGACGGUACCGGAAUAAGAAGCACCGGCUAAUUACGUGCCAGCAGCCGCGGUAAUACGUAGGGUGCGAGCGUUAAUCGGAAUUACUGGGCGUAAAGCGUGCGCAGGCGGUUUUGUAAGACAGGCGUGAAAUCCCCGGGCUUAACCUGGGAACUGCGCUUGUGACUGCAAGGCUAGAGUACGGCAGAGGGGGGUGGAAUUCCACGUGUAGCAGUGAAAUGCGUAGAGAUGUGGAGGAACACCAAUGGCGAAGGCAGCCCCCUGGGUCGAUACUGACGCUCAUGCACGAAAGCGUGGGUAGCAAACAGGAUUAGAUACCCUGGUAGUCCACGCCCUAAACUAUGUCAACUAGGUGUUGGGUGGGUAAAACCAUUUAGUACCGUAGCUAACGCGUGAAGUUGACCGCCUGGGGAGUACGGCCGCAAGGUUAAAACUCAAAGGAAUUGACGG